CGGCUCUGGAGAAGCCCGGUAUACCCGGGUACCGAAGGUGAAAGGCGGCUGGCCCGCCGAAUCUCUCAGGUAAAAGGACAGAGUGAC
RNAcentral lists this non-coding RNA (87 nucleotides) under uncultured Dysosmobacter sp. Its description in RNAcentral is "Glycine riboswitch". It matches the Rfam family "Glycine riboswitch aptamer", at positions 9 to 86 of the family's 94-position model. From Rfam's summary of the family: This family represents the bacterial glycine riboswitch. Glycine riboswitches usually consist of two metabolite-binding aptamers domains with similar structures in tandem. Lineage: Bacteria; Bacillati; Bacillota; Clostridia; Eubacteriales; Oscillospiraceae. The record is from RNAcentral.